UACGUAGGGUGCAGGCGUUAAUCGGAAUUAUUGGGCGUAAAGCGCGUGUAGGCAGCUUUGCAAGUCGGGUGUGAAAGCCCUCGGCUCAACCGAGGAAGUGCGCCCGAAACUGCAGAGCUUGAGUACCGGAGAGGAUGGCGGAAUUCCCCAAGUAGAGGUGAAAUUCGUAGAUAUGGGGAGGAACACCGGUGGCGAAGGCGGCCAUCUGGACGGAUACUGACGCUGAGACGCGAAAGCGUGGGGAGCAAACAGG
This 253-nucleotide ribosomal RNA is filed under the name uncultured bacterium. RNAcentral's name for it is "partial 16S ribosomal RNA". It matches the Rfam family "Bacterial small subunit ribosomal RNA", at positions 524 to 776 of the family's 1533-position model. The record is from RNAcentral.